CUGAACAAAAAAAAUCUAAAUCAAAACUUUCAACAACGGAUCUCUUGGUUCUGGCAUCGAUGAAGAACGCAGCGAAAUGCGAUAAGUAGUGUGAAUUGCAGAAUUCAGUGAAUCA
This 115-nucleotide ribosomal RNA is filed under the name Phoma herbarum. RNAcentral's name for it is "partial 5.8S ribosomal RNA". The stretch from base 25 to 115 matches the Rfam family "5.8S ribosomal RNA", at positions 1 to 91 of the family's 154-position model. From Rfam's summary of the family: 5.8S ribosomal RNA (5.8S rRNA) is a component of the large subunit of the eukaryotic ribosome. It is transcribed by RNA polymerase I as part of the 45S precursor that also contains 18S and 28S rRNA. Lineage: Eukaryota; Fungi; Ascomycota; Dothideomycetes; Pleosporales; Didymellaceae. The record is from RNAcentral.